AGCGAACGCUGGCGGCAGGCUUAACACAUGCAAGUCGAGCGGGCGUAGCAAUACGUCAGCGGCAGACGGGUGAGUAACGCGUGGGAACGUACCUUUUGGUUCGGAACAACCCAGGGAAACUUGAGCUAAUACCGGAUGUGCCCUUCGGGGGAAAGAUUUAUCGCCAUUGGAGCGGCCCGCGUCUGAUUAGCUAGUUGGUGAGGUAAAGGCUCACCAAGGCGACGAUCAGUAGCUGGUCUGAGAGGAUGAUCAGCCACAUUGGGACUGAGACACGGCCCAAACUCCUACGGGAGGCAGCAGUGGGGAAUCUUGCGCAAUGGGCGAAAGCCUGACGCAGCCAUGCCGCGUGAAUGAUGAAGGUCUUAGGAUUGUAAAAUUCUUUCACCGGGGACGAUAAUGACGGUACCCGGGAGAAGAAGCCCCGGCUAACUUCGUGCCAGCAGCCGCGGUAAU
Molecule: ribosomal RNA, 453 nt
Filed under: uncultured bacterium
Lineage: Bacteria
Description: bacterial SSU rRNA
Rfam family: Bacterial small subunit ribosomal RNA
Source: RNAcentral